AAAAGAAAAACAGACUCAUUGAAAUAUGGAAGGGUUUGUCUAGUAAUUUCGUAUAUAUUAAUUGAUAUUGAAACAAAAAAUCUUAUUUGUUAUGUAAUCACUAUUUUCAAUGCCAAAGUAAUGCAAAGUAAAUUUUGGGUAUAGGUAGAUCAAAUAAUAAUAACAGCGUUCUGAAACAUUCGAAAAAAUUGUUUGUACUGAAAGAUGAUUGUGUUAAAUUUCGAUUGACUUUACGCCAAAAACUUGAGUGAAAAUGCAACCACAGCUGUGGGUGAUUUUAAACUCAAUUUUUCACACACUCUGACAUACUCAAUAGUUUAAGUACACACGAAACAGCCAUUAAUUUAAGUGAAGUUUAAAAUAAAUAUGAUACGUCUUCUGAAUAGUAAACAUGAUAUAAUGCGUUUCUUAAAUUAAAUUUAAUAGAAUAUUGGCCUGUGUGGUGUUACGAUUUCACAAAAUGUGUUUUUUUUUUUGUAGACAGCGCCGACUCGACCCGUUAACAAAACUUUCCAUAAUAAAAUAACAUCAACGAUAUCGUUUGUUGCUAUCAAACAGAGUUGAAAAGUAGAAACUGUACUUGUGUCUUAGCCCUCAACUUUUCAAGCUGUGGAUGAAGUACUAGACCAUCCAGUAGGACUACGAAAAGGGCACUGGCAGGC
Long non-coding RNA from Diorhabda sublineata, 662 nucleotides. RefSeq lists it as uncharacterized. The record is from RefSeq and is a predicted model, not a curated record. Lineage: Eukaryota; Metazoa; Arthropoda; Insecta; Coleoptera; Chrysomelidae. The transcript has 3 exons.